Long non-coding RNA from Xyrauchen texanus (razorback sucker), 409 nucleotides. RefSeq lists it as uncharacterized. The record is from RefSeq and is a predicted model, not a curated record. NCBI's taxonomy places the organism in Eukaryota, Metazoa, Chordata, Actinopteri, Cypriniformes, Catostomidae. The transcript has 5 exons.
CUCUUACUCUGGUCACCACACGGAGUUUAGUACGUCCUUGAUACUUUUAAAACAUGUUCAUGAUGCUUUACACACGAAGAGUCACGCGGGGUGCCUUCAGACCACCAUAAUGAAUGGUUUAUUUUCUCCAGGUUACAUGAUGAUUUGAUGGCUAAUCUACAGUGCACUGAAAAGGUGUGCAUCUGCAUCUCAACACUGGAUUGGUGUUAAUCAGAGAUCAGAAGCAAUGGUCUGGACCAUCUCGCCCGGGUCACAUGGAACAAAUGGCAUGUAUGAAGUGUGGAAGCCAGUCCACAGUGACCAUGCCGAGAGUUGGGAGAGAUAUCGGUCCAAGAGAAUACUGUAACACCCAUACCGAUUGUUUUUAAAAAUGUAUUUCACAAGUCUUGUUUCAAAUAAAAGCGUCUGA